GAAAGCCGUGUGCAAUGAAAAUCGCAAGCACUGUUUUGGGAGGUGUAUGGUAACACAUAUAUAUUUGAAAAACGAUAGUUAAUACUCCAU
Beta vulgaris subsp. vulgaris (sugar beet) is the source of this 90-nucleotide non-coding RNA. The record is from Rfam. Lineage: Eukaryota; Viridiplantae; Streptophyta; Magnoliopsida; Caryophyllales; Amaranthaceae.